AUAAUUUGGAGAAUUUAUACUAUUUACACGGACCACCCUGCAAAGAUCAGGGAAGCUCCUGGCAGGGACAGCAGAGGAAUCAGAUACUCUUGGGGAACACAAGGUCCCAGCAGUGGCUAGGGUGUGACUGCUACUUUUGCAUAAUCAGGCAGCAGGGAGCUAUGAGGAGCAGAACAGUCCCUGCCUGCUGUCCUCACUCAGAGGCUUGGGGUGCACUGAGCCUUGGAGUGCCCGGGAUGGUGGACAGCUUGAGCACAGGGGCAAGGGCAGGGCUCUACUGUAGCUCAGGAAUAAACUGGGACCAGUUGAUGUUGUCAGGGCCCAGUGGGUCCUCGUCCAGGCCAGGAAAGCUGAUGUCCAGCAGGAUCUUGCUGAGGCUGUCAUUCAUUGUGUCCAGGACCAGGCCUUCUGUCAGAGAACGAUUGGCUGCAAGGCCAGAAACCUGUGGCUCCGGGGAGCCUGGCUUGGGGACGUCUAUAUCUGAGGGAGAAGAGUUGCCAAAGGGGACGGAGAUGAGGUCUAAGGGUUCUGAACUGAGGAGCCUUUGCGGUGAUUCAAGGGGGGGAGCACUUUGCAAGGGAGUGGUGCUGAGAUCCAUCAGCCCCAGGGGGUCAGGCAAGGGGUCAGAGGCACCCUGGGAGGUUUGUACUGGGCUGAAAUCCAGUCCCCCUACUUUGGCUGGGGGCGUGAGCCUCCAGGAUUCAGGGGUUCUGGGGAGGACAGAUUUGCUCGGGGUGGAGGAGAUGGGCAGCGUUUCCUUAAUGGGUGUCUUAAAAGGUCCUCCCACUUCCUGGGAGUAGCUGAGCUGGGAGGCAGGGUCAGAGGAGUCUGCUGGGAACGGGAGCUCUGCGGCCCAGCGGGAAGUACUGGGCCCCUCUGAGAAGAGCAGCUCCGGCUCAUCCACACAGGGAGGCAGUAGAUGCUGUUUUCUCCGAGACCGGCUCCUCUCCCUCCUCUCCCUGUGUUGAAUCACAAGCAUUUCCGAGACACACCGGGUUGGGGACCUAAGCCCACUGUAGGACUUCUUGGGUCUUGGGGUGGGAGAUUGGGACGAAUCCUCCCAGGAGUGAGAUGAUUCCUCUUUGAAAGAUGGGGCCGGGGAGGGCCACUCUUCCAAGGGAGGGCUCUCCACUUUGAUGGGUCUCGCUAAGUGUGGCAUUUCCUCCCCAGGCUGGAUUUCUUCCUCCUUGAUAGUCUGAACUGGAAGCAAAGGAGAAAACCCUUCUCCAAACAGGAGUUUCUCCUCUUUCCCUGGUCCUGCAGAAGAAAGAGGAGCUAUCCCCUCCUCAGCUAGCAGCACCUGAAAGGGAAACAGAGAUAAGGUGAACCAACGGUCACCAGACAGGACGCACAAAAAU
RNAcentral lists this long non-coding RNA (1358 nucleotides) under Homo sapiens (human). RNAcentral's name for it is "long non-coding RNA NONHSAT025489.2". The record is from RNAcentral. Lineage: Eukaryota; Metazoa; Chordata; Mammalia; Primates; Hominidae.